Molecule: ribosomal RNA, 369 nt
Filed under: Triticum aestivum (bread wheat)
Lineage: Eukaryota; Viridiplantae; Streptophyta; Magnoliopsida; Poales; Poaceae
Description: partial small subunit ribosomal RNA
Source: RNAcentral
ACCGAGGACAAAUUCCUUUGUGAGUGUAGGAGUGACAUUGGGCAAGACCCCAAGACCGGCGCCGAACAAAAGGCAUCAACCUUUUGGACUCGUGUCCAUCGCAAGUUCCAUAAAUGCAAGAAGUUUCCGCCGUACCAAAUGCAAAGCACGCAUGGGUGGGUGUCCAUUUGGAAGCGAUGGAAAGUGAUCCAACAAGAGUGCAACAAGUUUUGUGCCACUCUUGUGAGCAUCAAGGCACGCGUCGUGGGCGGCAUCUCCAUGCAAGACAUGGUAUGCAUGCAAGCACCCCUCUUUGUGUCAUUUCAUUUAUGCUUGAAUGUACAUUUUCAUAUCCAUUUGCCAAUAUGCUUGCAUGCCAUUCAUUUGUAG